Molecule: long non-coding RNA, 788 nt
Filed under: Homo sapiens (human)
Lineage: Eukaryota; Metazoa; Chordata; Mammalia; Primates; Hominidae
Description: HSALNT0157402
Source: RNAcentral
CGCACUUGUUUUAUCUUAUGAUGCUGCAUGAAUCGAUAGUUCAUAUAUUUUUUGCUGAUGGGCAUUGUGUUGUGUGCAAGGGCUGUGGAUAGUUUAUCCAUUUACUUGUGGAAGGAUAGCUUGUUUGUUUUCAUUUGAGAGCUGUGUGUGUGUGUUUUUAUCAGUAUAAAAUACUGUGUACUCUCCUAAUGAAUUUGGAAAAAAAUAGCAGUUGGGUAAUUUUUUUAAGACAAUGAAGAACUGAAAGUUCUGACUGAACGUAUUGAAUGCCACAGGAAUGGCUGAGGGAGAAACGAAAACAAGCUAUUUUCCACGCCCCCCUGUGAAAGGCAGGUCCCCACUCAUGCCCAUGACAUCUCGCACUCACGUGACUGAGUUUUCCUUUCUCGCCACCUCACUCGAGCCCAGCUGAGUUCACGGGACUCCUUGGGCCCCCGCGUUUCCUGACCUGUCUUCCCGGGCUUCCUCCCUCCGCGCUCUCUGCCGGGCCACCAUGUCCCACUCCUGCAUGUGAGGGAUCUGCUCAGACAUCAGCAUAUAGAUCGGCCUUUCAUGACUACACUCGGGAAAACAUCUGCGUCUACCCCGGCCUGGCCUGUGUGUUUUCUCCGCAGCACGGCUCUCCACGCGUGAUGUGACAUGAGGGCACCCGUGACCCCACAUGCGACAGGGUUGUCCACUGUGGAAUGAAGCAAUUCAAUCUCCGAUCACUUACCCCAGAGUGAGAAAAACAUCUGAAAUUUAUAGGACGUCUUUUGAAAUGACCCUCCCCUCCUCUCCUGCACUGG